GACGAACGCUGGCGGCGUGCCUAAUACAUGCAAGUCGAACGCUUCUUUCCUCCCGAGUGCUUGCACUCAAUUGGAAAGAGGAGUGGCGGACGGGUGAGUAACACGUGGGUAACCUACCCAUCAGAGGGGGAUAACACUUGGAAACAGGUGCUAAUACCGCAUAACAGUUUAUGCCGCAUGGCAUAAGAGUGAAAAGCGCUUUCGGGUGUCGUUGAUGGAUGGACCCGCGGUGCAUUAGCUAGUUGGUGAGGUAACGGCUCACCAAGGCCACGAUGCAUAGCCGACCUGAGAGGGUGAUCGGCCACACUGGGACUGAGACACGGCCCAGACUCCUACGGGAGGCAGCAGUAGGGAAUCUUCGGCAAUGGACGAAAGUCUGACCGAGCAACGCCGCGUGAGUGAAGAAGGUUUUCGGAUCGUAAAACUCCGUUGUUAGAGAAGAACAAGGACGUUAGUAACUGAACGUCCCCUGACGGUAUCUAACCAGAAAGCCACGGCUAACUACGUG
RNAcentral lists this ribosomal RNA (508 nucleotides) under uncultured bacterium. Its description in RNAcentral is "partial 16S ribosomal RNA". It matches the Rfam family "Bacterial small subunit ribosomal RNA", at positions 28 to 507 of the family's 1533-position model. The record is from RNAcentral.